AGUGAACGCUGGCGGUAGGCCUAACACAUGCAAGUCGAACGGCAGCACAGUAAGAGCUUGCUCUUACGGGUGGCGAGUGGCGGACGGGUGAGGAAUACAUCGGAAUCUACUUUUUCGUGGGGGAUAACGUAGGGAAACUUACGCUAAUACCGCAUACGACCUACGGGUGAAAGCAGGGGAUCUUCGGGCCUUGCGCGAUUGAAUGAGCCGAUGUCGGAUUAGCUAGUUGGCGGGGUAAAGGCCCACCAAGGCGACGAUCCGUAGCUGGUCUGAGAGGAUGAUCAGCCACACUGGAACUGAGACACGGUCCAGACUCCUACGGGAGGCAGCAGUGGGGAAUAUUGGACAAUGGGCGCAAGCCUGAUCCAGCCAUACCGCGUGGGUGAAGAAGACCUUCGGGUUGUAAAGCCCUUUUGUUGGGAAAGAAAAGCAGCAGGUUAAUACCCCGCUGUUCUGACGGUACCCAAAGAAUAAGCACCGGCUAACUUCGUG
This 492-nucleotide ribosomal RNA is filed under the name uncultured bacterium. Its description in RNAcentral is "partial 16S ribosomal RNA". It matches the Rfam family "Bacterial small subunit ribosomal RNA", at positions 29 to 507 of the family's 1533-position model. The record is from RNAcentral.